RNAcentral lists this non-coding RNA (45 nucleotides) under Schistosoma mansoni. The record is from RNAcentral. Lineage: Eukaryota; Metazoa; Platyhelminthes; Trematoda; Strigeidida; Schistosomatidae.
AUCCAGUUGACGAGCCCUGAAUAGGACGAAACGCGCUUUCUGGAU